This 122-nucleotide ribosomal RNA is filed under the name Anolis carolinensis (green anole). Lineage: Eukaryota; Metazoa; Chordata; Lepidosauria; Squamata; Anolidae. The record is from RNAcentral.
GAAUAGGGUUUAAGUACCCUAAUAAAAGCACCUGAUCCCAUCUGGUCUUGGAAGCUAAGCAGGGUCAGUCCUGUUUAGUACUUGGAUGGGAGACUGACAACAAAUACCAGCUACUGUAGGCU